RNAcentral lists this ribosomal RNA (403 nucleotides) under uncultured bacterium. RNAcentral describes it as "partial 16S ribosomal RNA". It matches the Rfam family "Bacterial small subunit ribosomal RNA", at positions 30 to 526 of the family's 1533-position model. The record is from RNAcentral.
AUUGAACGCUGGCGGCAGGCCUAACACAUGCAAGUCGAGCGAGCGGCGGACGGGUGAGUAAUGUAUGGGGACUGCCCGAUAGAGGGGGAUAACUACUGGAACCGGUGGCUAAUACCGCAUACUGUAGGCUAACCCAUAUGGGAUUAGCUAUUAGGUACGGUAAUGGCUGACCUAGGCGACGAUCCCUAGCUGGUCUGAGAGGAUGAUCAGCCACACUGGGACUUAGACACGGCCCAGACUCCUACGGAGGCAGCAGUGGGGAAUAUUGCACAAUGGGCGCAAGCCUGAUGCAGCCAUGCCGCGUGUAUGAAGAAGGCCCUAGGGUUGUAAAGUACUUGCAGUCGGGAGGCGUUACCGACAGAAGAAGCACCGGCUAACUCCGUGCCAGCAGCCGCGGUAAUAC